AAGAAAGGUGGCAGUGAAACAGAGACUGAUGUCACAAAAGAGUGCGGUGACUUUGGAUCCUCCUGAUAACAGGGCUUGCAUGCAGGCAGCGACAUGCACAUCCCAACAUUUAUUUGGAAAGCAGAGCUACGGAGGCAAAUGAGUGCAUCUGGCCCACAGAGGUCUUGGUGGGGGAGGGGCACAAAGCACAAGUGGAAGUGGAGGAUUUAGUCCAUCUGAAUUCCUGGAGCUGUUUACUACAGGGUCAUCCAUCUGUCUCCUGCUGCAGUUUCCAUGACAAGAAGAUUUCCGAGGCAGAGGCAUCCUGAAGGUUCUCUGCGUGUUCUGAAAUGCCUACCUGAGCCUCCAGAGCCGCCUGCCUUCCUGUAGGAACCAGCCUGCAGGGCAGCUGCCUUCAGGGUCAGUAUGUUUCUGUCUUAAGCAAUAUUUUUUCUUUCAAUAAACCGCACAUUCCAGACACAAAAAAUAAAAACAUAUAUUCACAGUUGAAUAUAUA
Molecule: long non-coding RNA, 496 nt
Filed under: Ictidomys tridecemlineatus (thirteen-lined ground squirrel)
Lineage: Eukaryota; Metazoa; Chordata; Mammalia; Rodentia; Sciuridae
Description: lncRNA (ENSSTOG00000030507.1)
Source: RNAcentral